UAACUGCAAUGUCCCAACAGCACAGUAUGCUAAUAGGAUUAAACACACUCCUGUAACUGUAUAAAAGGAAAGCUCCUAAUUCAGGACAACAUUGUCAUCUUUCAGACAGUCUGCUGAGGUUGUGAAGACCUGCCGGUGAAAUCCCUGAAACCAUGAUCAAGGUUGUGUUUCUGUUUGGAUGCCUGCUGAGCCUGGCUCUGGCAAAUCCUACUUUUGGACAUUUUGGUCACUGGCACAGACAUUCUGGCUCUCAUGAGAACCAUGGUGUCACU
This is a long non-coding RNA of Oreochromis aureus, 272 nucleotides long. RefSeq lists it as uncharacterized. The record is from RefSeq and is a predicted model, not a curated record. Lineage: Eukaryota; Metazoa; Chordata; Actinopteri; Cichliformes; Cichlidae. The transcript is spliced from 3 exons.